Molecule: long non-coding RNA, 820 nt
Organism: Leopardus geoffroyi (Geoffroy's cat)
Lineage: Eukaryota; Metazoa; Chordata; Mammalia; Carnivora; Felidae
Exons: 3
Source: RefSeq, a predicted model, not a curated record
ACGCAGGGCGCCGAGCGCAGACAGAGAAGCAAAGCCACGUGAAGAGAGACGCGAGCUGUCGCAAACCUGAACAUCGCGAGUGGCAGAAAAGAGCCAGUGGAGGGAGGGAAGCUGGAAAUGCAGAGUGGCCAGAGGAAGGCCGCGGAGGGCGGAGGGAAGCCCCCGGGGAGGGGGAGAGCGGUGUGCGUGUGGGAGGUAAUGACCUUGAGGGCAGGGAAGGUGGCGGCAGCAGGUCUCCUCUGGGAACUGGGAGGCCGGUCAUCAGGCCCAGGAGAGUGGGUGUGUCUGCAGAAGGGGUGGAGUAGGUUUGAGGGAAGUAAAAGUCUGGCAAGAAGGCUUAGGAAAACGGGACGGGAAACUGCGCCAAGGGCUGGAAGGCAGUCUUUAAAGCCCAGCUGAGCUUGGAGGCCGUGACAGUUGGGCCGGCCUGACCCUCCACAUGAGACGAUCUUUCUGGACCACGCCCUGCAUCCCAGGUACAGGCGCGAAGAAGCCCCAGAUGAACGAGCCUGGCUGUGGCUCUGCACAACAGAGCGUGAAGAACUUUCCAUCUUUUCCUCCAUUCUGUGGUUCUGGGUUUUCACUUGAAACUCUUCAUCCAUUUGGAAUCGACUUUGGCCCCUAAUGGGCCGGUUCCCAGGUGGUAGCAGGAGCCCCGUCUCACCAGCGUGGGAGCGCAGCCGGGAGGCUCAGGCGGCCAAGGUCAGACAGAGAGCUGGGGGACCACACGGCCUCAAGUCCAGUUACUCUUUACUAGACUCCAGCUGCCCCACAGGAGUCUUCGUUUUCUUAAGCCCUCACCUAAAAGCUUUGAAAACAU